GAUGAACGCUGGCGGCGUGCCUAAUACAUGCAAGUCGAACGAAACCAUCGGAGCUUGCUCUGAGAAGUUUAGUGGCGGACGGGUGAGUAACGCGUGAGCAACCUGGCCUUCGGAGGGGGACAACAGUUGGAAACGACUGCUAAUACCGCAUAACAUACUGUAGUGGCAUCACUGUGGUAUCAAAGAUUUAUCGCCGAAGGAUGGGCUCGCGUCUGAUUAGCUGGUUGGUGGGGUAACGGCCUACCAAGGCGACGAUCAGUAGCCGGACUGAGAGGUUGACCGGCCACAUUGGGACUGAGAUACGGCCCAGACUCCUACGGGAGGCAGCAGUAGGGAAUAUUGGGCAAUGGGGGCAACCCUGACCCAGCAACGCCGCGUGAAGGAAGAAGGCAUUCGUGUUGUAAACUUCUUUGACGAGGGAUGAAAAUGACAGUACCUCGAAAACAAGCCACGGCUAACUACGUGCCAGCAGCCGCGGUAAUACGUAGGUGGCGAGCGUUAUCCGGAAUUACUGGGUGUUAAGGGCGUGUAAGCGGGCUUUUAAGUCUGACGUGAAAUCUANGGGCUUAACCCUAAACUGCGUUGGAAACUUGAAGUCUUGAAUUNA
This 607-nucleotide ribosomal RNA is filed under the name uncultured bacterium. RNAcentral describes it as "bacterial SSU rRNA". It matches the Rfam family "Bacterial small subunit ribosomal RNA", at positions 28 to 650 of the family's 1533-position model. The record is from RNAcentral.